Molecule: ribosomal RNA, 1665 nt
Filed under: Triticum aestivum (bread wheat)
Lineage: Eukaryota; Viridiplantae; Streptophyta; Magnoliopsida; Poales; Poaceae
Description: partial small subunit ribosomal RNA
Source: RNAcentral
AUGGCCGGCGAGGACCGCCUGUCCGGACUCCCCGACGAUCUCCUCCGGCGCGUCCUCCACUUCGCCCCAGCCAAGGAGGCCGCGUCCACAACCGCGCUCUCGCGGCGCUGGCGCACGGCGCUCUGGCGCUCCUCGGGCGCCGUGAAUCUCGAGACGCGCGUCCGCAGACUCUACUACCAAGAAGCCGAGGCACGCCGCGAUGCCUUCGUCUCCGCGGCCUUGGCGGCGCUCGACGCCGCCGCCGACGACGGCGGCCGCGUCAAGAGGCUCACCUUACGCAUCGAGUCUGACGGCGACGACACCUCGCUCGACGAUUUCCUGAACCGCAACCGCUACAACAACUACCAGCGCGAGGUAAACCCAAAUGUGGUCGACGUCGUGCUCUCCCACCUCGCCGCGCGCCGGGUGGAGGAGCUCAGGCUGGUCGCCCAGGAAUCCAGCAACGAAUCGUUCGACGACGACAUGGAGAUCUUCUCCUUGAGUCGGGUAGGUGCCUAUAGGCUCAACCUCAACUUACUGCCGCUUGAGACUCUCCGUGUGCUGGAAAUCACCAACUGCAGGGGCCUCAACCAACCGGAGGCCGCGGUGGCCGCGUUCCCGCGGCUGUCGUCACUGUGGCUGCGGCAUUCUGCUCAGAGCCUUGGCUCCCUACACAGCAUCAUCGAUGCCGCGCCAGUGCUCUCUGCCGUCUGCCUCGAGUCCGUACAGAUAGACGACUACGACAUCAAGGAGGAGGACGUACGACGAUCCCUCGCUGCCCAAAGAAGCUGCACUCCUCCGCCUCCGAUCAGCUCACCCGCCCUCCCCCUCGUCGCCGCGGAGAUCCACGCGCCGAGGCUGCGUAGAUUCAGGUACAAGGGGCUUCUCCGGCCGUUCUCAUUCAGUCCACAGCCGCCGGAGUUGCAACAAGUGGACCUCGAAUUUUUCCCGGACACUGACUACAGGAACAAUGAUCCAGACCGUGAUCUAGCAACCUUCUGGCGACUCGUUCGGAGCUUCACCAGCGCCAAAGACAUGAAGCUAAGCAUAAAGCUCGAGGCGAUAGCCGUGGUCAGCAAGGCGAGGCAGGCCGAGCUCCUGCCCGCGUUCUCCAGCCUCGAGCGCCUCGAGUUGCAUGGAGUGCAUGGGGAGAACGUAAAGAAGGCAGCCCUGGGGAUCGCGAAUCUGCUCCGUUGCUGCCCCGUGCUCCGUGACCUCCGGAUCAACCUUACCACUGAGGAGCACGACACCUCCAAAAACCAUGAGCACACUCGUGAAUUCCUCAAAAGGAAAUUCCGAUCUAGCCGCGACAACCCCGUCGAUCGUUUUGAUUGCGACUGCAAUUCCGAGGAAGGAGAUGAUGAAGCCAUCAGUACUGUUGCAUAUGAUGAAGUUUAUGAAAUUCCUGCCUUGAGUCGACACCCGUUCAAGUGCUUGCAGAGCUCAUUGAGUAGAGUGGGUUUGCGAUUCCGGUUUGAGAAGUUGAACUGCCUAGGUGUCAAGCUCAUCAAAUUUUUCGCUGAGAAUGCGAUGGUUUUGGAAGAAAUGCACAUCGACAGUGGAAAUGGAAAGCUUUGCCGGCACGUGAAUCGCAAGAUUGAAACAUGUAUAUAUGUGUGCAGCUGCGGAUCCCACCCCCACCCCAUUCCCCCCCUUCUGCUCGAGAGAGAGCAGAGGCCAGGGUAG